Molecule: ribosomal RNA, 599 nt
Filed under: Streptomyces sp.
Lineage: Bacteria; Bacillati; Actinomycetota; Actinomycetes; Kitasatosporales; Streptomycetaceae
Description: bacterial SSU rRNA
Rfam family: Bacterial small subunit ribosomal RNA
Source: RNAcentral
GAGGCGGGGCUAACAUGCAAGUCGAACGAUGAAGCCCUUCGGGGUGGAUUAGUGGCGAACGGGUGAGUAACACGUGGGCAAUCUGCCCUUCACUCUGGGACAAGCCCUGGAAACGGGGUCUAAUACCGGAUAACACUCCUGCCUGCAUGGGUGGGGGUUAAAAGCUCCGGCGGUGAAGGAUGAGCCCGCGGCCUAUCAGCUUGUUGGUGGGGUAAUGGCCUACCAAGGCGACGACGGGUAGCCGGCCUGAGAGGGCGACCGGCCACACUGGGACUGAGACACGGCCCAGACUCCUACGGGAGGCAGCAGUGGGGAAUAUUGCACAAUGGGCGAAAGCCUGAUGCAGCGACGCCGCGUGAGGGAUGACGGCCUUCGGGUUGUAAACCUCUUUCAGCAGGGAAGAAGCGAAAGUGACGGUACCUGCAGAAGAAGCGCCGGCUAACUACGUGCCAGCAGCCGCGGUAAUACGUAGGGCGCAAGCGUUGUCCGGAAUUAUUGGGCGUAAAGAGCUCGUAGGCGGCUUGUCGCGUCGGAUGUGAAAGCCCGGGGCUUAACCCCGGGUCUGCAUUCUAUACGGGCAGGCUAGAGUGUGGUAGGGG